CUACGGGACGCUGCAGUGGGGAAUCUUGGACAAUGGGCGCAAGCCUGAUCCAGCCAUGCCGCGUGAGUGAUGAAGGCCCUAGGGUCGUAAAGCUCUUUCGCCAGGGAUGAUAAUGACAGUACCUGGUAAAGAAACCCCGGCUAACUCCGUGCCAGCAGCCGCGGUAAUACGGAGGGGGUUAGCGUUGUUCAGAAUUACUGGGCGUAAAGCGCGCGUAGGCGGAGUGGAAAGUUGGGGGUGAAAUCCCGGGGCUCAACCCCGGAACUGCCUCCAAAACUCCCAGUCUUGAGUUCGAGAGAGGUGAGUGGAAUUCCGAGUGUAGAGGUGAAAUUCGUAGAUAUUCGGAGGAACACCAGUGGCGAAGGCGGCUCACUGGCUCGAUACUGACGCUGAGGUGCGAAAGUGUGGGGAGCAAACAGGAUUAGAUACCCCAGUAGUC
This 439-nucleotide ribosomal RNA is filed under the name uncultured bacterium. RNAcentral describes it as "partial 16S ribosomal RNA". It matches the Rfam family "Bacterial small subunit ribosomal RNA", at positions 339 to 795 of the family's 1533-position model. The record is from RNAcentral.